This is a long non-coding RNA of Gossypium arboreum, 585 nucleotides long. RefSeq lists it as uncharacterized. Lineage: Eukaryota; Viridiplantae; Streptophyta; Magnoliopsida; Malvales; Malvaceae. The transcript is spliced from 2 exons. The record is from RefSeq and is a predicted model, not a curated record.
GAAACAAAAAGAGACUAAAGUGUUACCUCAUUUUACAUGAAAUCUACAUUAAAAAUAUUAUAUUUUGAGAUAUUAAAUUACUAGAAAUAAAUUGAAGUCGUGGACUUAAUUUUUAACAUAGAGAUGAAAUGUAGACCACAUAUUUGAAUAAUUUUGAUUGGUUGACUUUGAUCUCAUUUAUGUGGUAAGUAAAAGGAGAAAAAAAAUGAGAUAUUCUCUCUUAUUUCUUGCAACAACAGGAGAGGGGAGGAGAGGUCCUCCGAUGACUUUUUUUAUUCCUUUCUCUUCCAAUCAACACCCACCCACCCAAGUUUUGUUCCAUUAAAUCUUACUACUAGAAAACAAUUUUUUGCUUGAUUUCCACAAUUGUUUUCUUUAUUUGAGGCUAAGAUUUCAAGUGGGUUAAUCAAAAAAAGCUAUGCUAGAGAGACAAAGCUCCAAGAAGAAGACUUUGAGUGGAUGAAUGGGUGGAUCCACAUGUUGAGAAAGCUAAAAGAAGCUUUGUUUUGAAACUUUUGCUAUUAAAGUGGUGUCAUGUAUUCUUUUAACCUCCCUUUAAUAAAAUGAUCAUGAAAAUUAUUAAAA